Molecule: ribosomal RNA, 301 nt
Filed under: uncultured bacterium
Lineage: Bacteria
Description: partial 16S ribosomal RNA
Rfam family: Bacterial small subunit ribosomal RNA
Source: RNAcentral
CAGCCGCCGCGGUAAUACGUAGGUGGCAAGCGUUGUCCGGAAUUAUUGGGCGUAAAGGGCUCGCAGGCGGUUUCUUAAGUUUGAUGUGAAAGCCCCCGGCUCAACCGGGGAGGGUCAUUGGAAACUGGGAAACUUGAGUGCAGAAGAGGAGAGUGGAAUUCCACGUGUAGCGGUGAAAUGCGUAGAGACGUGGAGGAACACCAGUGGCGAAGGCGACUCUCUGGUCUGUAACUGACGCUGAGGGGCGAAAGCGUGGGGAGCGAACAGGAUUAGAUACCCCAGUAGUCCCUGUCUCUUAUAC